UACGAAGGGGGCUAGCGUUGCUCGGAAUUACUGGGCGUAAAGGGCGCGUAGGCGGACAGUUUAGUCAGGGGUGAACGCCCAGGGCUCAACCUUGGAAUUGCCUUUGAUACUGGCUGUCUUGAGUUCGGGAGAGGUGAGUGGAAUGCCGAGUGUAGAGGUGAAAUGCGUAGAUAUUGGGAAGAACACCGGUGGCGAAGGCGGCUCACUGGACCGACACUGACGCUGAGGCACGAAAGCGUGGGGAGCAAACAGG
Molecule: ribosomal RNA, 253 nt
Filed under: uncultured bacterium
Lineage: Bacteria
Description: partial 16S ribosomal RNA
Rfam family: Bacterial small subunit ribosomal RNA
Source: RNAcentral